Molecule: ribosomal RNA, 301 nt
Filed under: uncultured bacterium
Lineage: Bacteria
Description: partial 16S ribosomal RNA
Rfam family: Bacterial small subunit ribosomal RNA
Source: RNAcentral
CAGUCGCCACGGUAAUACGAAGGGGGCUAGCGUUGUUCGGAUUUACUGGGCGUAAAGGGCGCGUAGGCGGACUGAUAAGUCAGGGGUGAAAUCCCAAGGCUCAACCUUGGAACUGCCUUUGAUACUGUUUGUCUUGAGUUCGAGAGAGGUAAGUGGAACUGCGAGUGUAGAGGUGAGAUUCGUAGAUAUUCGCAAGAACACCAGUGGCGAAGGCGGCUUACUGGCUCGAUACUGACGCUGAGGCGCGAAAGCGUGGGGAGCAAAUGGGAUUAGAUACCCCUGUAGUCCCUGUCUCUUAUAC